UGAGGAAGCCCAAACCGAAAGAGGAUCAAGCCUUGGCCCAAGUUAAGGAAGCCCAAGGCCACAUAACCCAAUUAUGCAACAACCUUAGAAGACCCUUGCGCACUUGUAUGGACAACCCAACCCACACGCUGCAGUGCGCCCACAUGCACACAACCAGCCAAGCGAAUGCAUAACCCAUGCGCUUGUGCACAGUAAGGCCCGCACGUACGCAAGUUCAAGUCGGGCAGCAACCCUACUUGCAUAGCCCAACAAGCCCACAAGGUCGCACACAUGGGGACCUAGCAGACCGACCUGCACGAUCUAGUAGGCUAGCCGCAAGCCUGCCUCCACCAUGCACGCAACCCAUCCCAUACGUUGGUCUAACCCAUAUAAAUAGUCCAUCCAC
Molecule: long non-coding RNA, 385 nt
Filed under: Carica papaya (papaya)
Lineage: Eukaryota; Viridiplantae; Streptophyta; Magnoliopsida; Brassicales; Caricaceae
Description: long non-coding RNA (CPAP_LNC011032)
Source: RNAcentral